This 43-nucleotide non-coding RNA is filed under the name Trypanosoma brucei brucei. Lineage: Eukaryota; Euglenozoa; Kinetoplastea; Trypanosomatida; Trypanosomatidae. The record is from RNAcentral.
AUACAAAGGCAUACAGUGUACGUCGGUAUCGGAUCUGUGUAAU